RNAcentral lists this ribosomal RNA (469 nucleotides) under uncultured Alphaproteobacteria bacterium. RNAcentral's name for it is "bacterial SSU rRNA". It matches the Rfam family "Bacterial small subunit ribosomal RNA", at positions 9 to 524 of the family's 1533-position model. Lineage: Bacteria; Pseudomonadati; Pseudomonadota; Alphaproteobacteria. The record is from RNAcentral.
GAGUUUGAUCGUGGCUCAGGGCGAACGCUGGCGGCAGGCUUAACACAUGCAAGUCGAACGCAUCCUUCGGGGUGAGUGGCGGACGGGUGAGUAACACGUGGGAACGUACCCUUUGGUUCGGGACAACUCUGGGAAACUGGAGCUAAUACCGGAUACGCCCUUUUGGGGAAAGGUUUACUGCCGAAGGAUCGGCCCGCGUCUGAUUAGCUAGUUGGUGGGGUAACGGCCUACCAAGGCGACGAUCAGUAGCUGGUCUGAGAGGAUGAUCAGCCACACUGGGACUGAGACACGGCCCAGACUCCUACGGGAGGCAGCAGUGGGGAAUAUUGGACAAUGGGCGCAAGCCUGAUCCAGCCAUGCCGCGUGAGUGAUGAAGGCCUUAGGGUUGUAAAGCUCUUUUAUCCGGGACGAUAAUGACGGUACCGGAGGAAUAAGCCCCGGCUAACUUCGUGCCAGCCGCCGCAGUAAC